GACGAACGCUGGCGGCGUGCUUAACACAUGCAAGUCGAACGGAAAGGCCCUGCUUUUGUGUGGUGCUCGAGUGGCGAACGGGUGAGUAACACGUGAGUAACCUUCCCUUGACUUUGGGAUAACUUCAGGAAACUGGGGCUAAUACCGGAUAGGAGCUCCUGCUGCAUGGUGGGGGUUGGAAAGUUUCGGCGGUUGGGGAUGGACUCGCGGCUUAUCAGCUUGUUGGUGGGGUAGUGGCUUACCAAGGCUUUGACGGGUAGCCGGCCUGAGAGGGUGACCGGCGACAUUGGGACUGAGAUACGGACCAGACUCCUACGGGAGGCAGCAGUGGGGAAUAUUGCACAAUGGGCGGAAGCCUGAUGCAGCAACGCCGCGUGCGGGAUGACGGCCUUCGGGUUGUAAACCGCUUUCGCCUGUGACGAAGCGUGAGUGACGGUAAUGGGUAAAGAAGCACCGGCUAACUACGUG
This 468-nucleotide ribosomal RNA is filed under the name uncultured bacterium. RNAcentral describes it as "partial 16S ribosomal RNA". It matches the Rfam family "Bacterial small subunit ribosomal RNA", at positions 28 to 507 of the family's 1533-position model. The record is from RNAcentral.